RNAcentral lists this long non-coding RNA (1466 nucleotides) under Callithrix jacchus (white-tufted-ear marmoset). RNAcentral describes it as "lncRNA (ENSCJAG00000061797.2)". The record is from RNAcentral. Lineage: Eukaryota; Metazoa; Chordata; Mammalia; Primates; Cebidae.
AUUUAUGUUGUAGUAUAUAUCAACCCUCCCUUCCUUUUUAUGGCUGAAUGAUAUUCCAUUGCACAGAUAUGCUACAUUUUGUUUAUCCAUUUAUCAGCUGAUGAACGUUUGGGUUGUUUAUUUUUUGGCUUUAUGAAUGCUGUUGACACGAACAUUCAUGUAAAUCAGGGAUCCUCAACAUUUGUCUAUAGCAGGGAUAGCAGUCCAUGGCCUGUUAGGAACCAGGCUGCCCAGCGGAGGUGCGUGGUGAGUGUUGAGUGAAGCUUCGUCUGUAUUCACAGCUGCUCAUCAUUGCUUGCAUUACCUCCUGAGCUUCACCUCCUGUUAGAUCAGCAGAGGCAUUAGACUCAUCGGAGCAUGAACCCUGUAGAGAGCCAGCGUAGCCCACUCCCUCUGGGGGGAUCAGCAGCAAGGCUACUGUGAACUUUGGGUGAACUCCAGAGAAGUGAAACCAUAAUGGAAGGAUGUAUAUGUCUUGGGGUAGAGCAGAUGGGUCUAGAGAGAUAACCAGCUUUCACUGACCUUGCUGCAAGAUAGUUGUUAGCUGAAGUAUGUUAACUGAAGUAUGAGAAUAAUAACCACAGGCUGUUCUAAGUAACUGCACCCUCCCUCUGCUAUGUGCUUUGAGAACAAAUAAAGUACACUGAGACAGGUCCGGGUCAGCGAGACUGACAUCCUUUACCUCCUGGACUACCUGGCCCAGCUUUCUCUAUGUUUCUAUUUGUGUCUUUAUCCCACUGUUCCCUCUUAGGUCUUUGAACCCUUGUGCAGUUUGGGAUACAGCGCACACCAGAGAACCCUAUUGUGAAGUGCACAUGCAAAGGGUCUAAGUUGCACACUCCUUAUGAGAAUCUAAUGUCUGAUGAUAUGUCACUGUCUCCCAACACCCCCGAGAAAACUGUCUAGCUGCAGGAAAACAAGCUCAGGGCUCCCACUGAAUCUACAUUACGGUUUCUUCUCUCGUGAUUUCAACCAUUCUGGAUGUGUCACAAGUCAACCUGCCCUUCGUCUUAGAUUUGGCCUCGUCUACAACGCUGUGCCACUGCUUGGAGCACCCACAAAGAGGAUGCUCAUUUGGUGGGUGCUAGAGUGAAUGCUUUUGUCCCCCCAGAUAUUCAUAUGUUGAAUCCUGAUUUCAAGGUGAUAAGAUUAGACGGUGGAACUUUGGGAGGUGGUGUGGUCAUAAGGGUAGAGCCCUCACAAAUGAGGUUAGUGCCAUUAUCAAAAAGAGCCCAGAGAGCUGCCUUGCCCUUUCCACCAUGGGAAGACAUGGGAGACGAUGGCCCUCUAUGAACCAGGAAUGAGCCCUCACCAGACCCUGAAUCUGCCAGCACCUUGACCUUGGAUUUCCCAGCCUUCAGAACUGUGAGAAGUAAACUUCUGUUGUUUAUAAAUUUCCUUAUUCUGUUACAGCAUCCACAAUGGGCAAAGAUAGUGGAUAUAUUCAAGCUAGACUUUUUUGGUUG